GUUUCGGGUUCGGAGAUAUAUGGAUUUGGUAAAACAGGGGGCAGAGUCCCCGUCGGUAUUGGGCGGCGGAGGUUGAGGAUUGUUGUCACCGGUGGAGCUGGAUUUGUGGGAAGUCAUCUUGUGGAUAAGCUAAUUGAAAGAGGGGAUGAUGUGAUUGUUAUUGAUAACUUCUUCACCGGUAGAAAGGAUAAUUUAGUGCAUCAUCUGGGAAAUCCUCGAUUCGAGCUCAUUCGACAUGAUGUUGUUGAGCCAAUUCUUU
This 259-nucleotide unclassified non-coding RNA is filed under the name Hevea brasiliensis (rubber tree). Lineage: Eukaryota; Viridiplantae; Streptophyta; Magnoliopsida; Malpighiales; Euphorbiaceae. The record is from RNAcentral.